Molecule: long non-coding RNA, 4859 nt
Filed under: Gossypium raimondii (Peruvian cotton)
Lineage: Eukaryota; Viridiplantae; Streptophyta; Magnoliopsida; Malvales; Malvaceae
Description: long non-coding RNA (GRAI_LNC001824)
Source: RNAcentral
ACUGUACAAAUAAAUUAUAAUAUGUCAAAAGCCUAUAAAACGAAACACCCACACUCACAAGAACAAAAAAUCAUGUAAUGAAAAUAUGAAAGAAUACCGAAGAGCAACAGUUCCAGGACGGUAUCGAUGAGGCUUCUUCACACCACCGGUGGUUGGGGCAGAUUUACGGGCAGCCUGUUAUACAACAGAGAUAUAUUCGAAGUUAAUCACAAAACAAGAAAGCUCAAAUUUGGUAAACCGGAUAUUGUCUUGAAUGCAAUACAAUGAAUCACCUUGGUAGCAAGUUGCUUCCUUGGAGCCUUCCCACCAGUCGACUUACGGGCGGUUUGCUUGGUACGGGCCAUCUCUGCAAAGAUAUGAAUAAUUUCAGAAGACAAACAAAAAAAAAAAAACAUUUUCUCAUGAACCAAAAAUAACACACAAAAUCCAGAUCUUAGAUAAUUACUGAAUAAUUCCCAAAAGCCCUAAUUUUCAAACUAGAAAACUUCUAAGCCAAAAUAGAAAAUCAGAAAGGGAAUUAAAACAGAAGUCGAAGGUCCUAAAUGAACUCAGAAACUAUAAAAGGUACCCUAAUUAUAAACAAAUUCAACCUAAUUCUACCUUACCUCCCCUAUUUCCCUAAUUCAACUUACACUACAUGAAAUACAAAAACAAAUUAAAAGAAUCAGAAUUUACAAACCCUAAUUUAUCAUAAAAGUAAACAAAUAAAUAAAAGCUAAGAGAGCGAGAGAAGGUGACUAACCCUGAGAUCUUAGACAAACGCUUUAUUAUCUUCCUGUUCAAACGUUUGAAAAGGUAAGCAAUUAAGAGGUAUUUAUAGAAGGUUGGGGGUUUUGAUAAUGAAGUUGAUCCGACGGUUAAGAUUUACAAUCCGUGUGUUUCUUUUGUACGAAAUCUGACGGUAAAAACUGUCACAAGUUGUGUUUUCUGAGAGGAAAAGGACGGUUGGGAUUAGAUUAUAGUGGGAAGACACGGAUCGUGAUGGUUUGAGUGCUUGAUUCUUAUUGGUCGACUAAAAUUGCUUUUUAGCACAAAUGUUUUUAAGGUUGGAUUAAUGAAUUAACACAAAAUUAAAAGUAGUAAAUUUUGUCCUUCUAUUUAUAAGUUGGGAGGGGUUUUGGAUAGUUCUAAAUAUUGUGUAAAAAAAACAGAAAUGAUUAUAGUCUCUAAUGAGAUUAUUAAAAAAUAUAUAUAGCAAAUUUGAUUUGGCAUUAACAUUUACUUAUAAAUAGGGUUAAAUUAUGAAAGUUGUAAUUUGGUAUUAGUCCUUAAUAGAUUUAAGAAAGAAUUUUGAAUAUUUUGAACUUAGAUUUUAUUAUAAAUUUGAUAUUAAAAUUAUAAGAUUAUUUAAAUUUAUAAACACCAUAAAUUUUUUUGGCAAAAGGGAUUAAAUAAAAUCUUAAUAAAAAUUAAUAAAUCAAUUUACAUCUUAAAAAAAAAAUGCACACAAUUAAAGUCCCAAAAGCAAAAAUAAAAAAUAAAACUCUUUCAUUACCAAAAACUUCUGUUUAAAAGAGGGGAGAAAUAGACAUCUAAGCUCCUUUUGAUGUAACAUAUAAAUUUGUUUCGCUUCAUUCCAAACACAAUUCAAAUAUAUAUUCUAAAAAAAUGGUAAAAAAAUUAUAAUAAAUAAAAUUUAAAAAAGAGUAAGAAGUGUUUUCUUUUCUUUUAUUUUAGUCCUUAAUAACAUGUGAUAUUUUGGUUUAUAAUUGACUAUUUUGACAAAUCUUUUCAUAGUUAACAAUAUUUAUAAUCUUUAAUGAUUUUUAACAUUCUUUAUAAUUUCAUACAAGAUUUUAAAUAUAUUAUAAUAUUUUCAACUAGGUUGAGCCUUUAUUUAUCUAAGAUUGAUUUUUGGGCAAAUUUUUUUUCUGAAAAUAUUAACUAAUUAAUUAUAUAGAAGUACUCAGAAAAGAAAAAAAACAUCCUCUCACUUGUCUAGUCCUAGAAAGGUUAGAAACGACAUAGGAAGGGUACCAAAAAUCUACAAAUCCUUUUUUUUUCUUUUAUAUUAAAGUUAGUUUGCUUAAACAGUUCGUAGCUUGAUUUUGCUCUCUAGAAAUAUAAAACAAGAGCCACCGUUUUUUUUUGUGCCAAAAUAUUUUGUAUACAUCUAAUCAAAGUUGAAUUCGACAUGUUAGACUGCAAGGAACGCUUCCUUGAUUAGCUUUAACAAUUUUCAAACUAUAAGAUUUGAUUACUCCAUCAUCAAAGGCCUCAUAGCCUCUACAUUGGGUUAGCUUGAGACCGUCCAAAAUAUCCUGAAGUUCGGUGUCAAUGAACGAACACUUCCCUAAGUAACGGUUAUAGCCAGACACCCAUUCCCAUUCUCAUCACAAAUUACUCCCCGAAAACUACAUUACCUAAUUAAUUUCUUUCCAAGGCUCAUUUGGCUAAAUUUGUUUUUAGAAAUAAUGAUUUUUUUACGUACCAAUUUAAUAAAAAAAGUUAGUUUAAUUAACCAUUUAAUUAUUCCAUUCUUCAAUUCUAGAAGUUAAGUUUCUUUUAUCAAAACAUCUUGAAAUUUUUAACACUUCACUGUGAAUCUCCACAUUUGUAAUUAAUUAAUUUUUAAUAUAUUUAUUUAACAAAAUUUUUAAAUAAUUCUAAGAAUUUUCUAUAUUUUAAAAAAUAAUUAAUUGUUGAUGUUAUAGUUUUAACUUUAAUUUUUCCAUCCAAUAUCGAGUAGUUUGAAAAAUUACAAAUAUAAAUAUUAAAAAAUAAAAAAAAUUUAAAAGCUAAAAUGAUUUUUUUUUACGAAGUUAGAGCCUAAAUAAGUAAUUAUAGAUUUUUUCUAAUAUCUCAAAUUAUCAAACAAGAAUUAUCUUAAUUAAAUAUAGAUUCAACUUCAAAAUCUUGAACCGAAAAAUUCACCUUAAAUGCUUUUUUUCAUCCUAUAUUUGAAAAAACAUUCCAUUAGGAUUUUCACACCAUUACUCGAUGCCACUUGUAAGCACAAAACAUCUUGAUCCAGUUAACAAAAGCACCAAUAUCAGGGUAAUUUACCAAUAAAAGUUUUUUUUUCAAAAUUUAUCGAAAUGGACCAACUAUUUAAUUAUUUACCGAAAUGGUCUAUUUUUCGCGAAAUCGCAUCCACGUCAGCGCAAUGUCAGGGUACGCGCCAGGAAAUCGCGUCCACGUCAGCGCGACUUGCUGACGUGGACAGAAAUCGCGCCUUAGAGGACACGAUUUGCUGACGUGGCAUGAACAGUUUAUUUUUUUAGCUUAAAAAACUUUGAAAGGCCAUAACUUUUGGCUCGGUUGUCCAAUUGAGACGAUUUUUUUAUUUCGAAUAACUUUUCGAGAUCUACGCACUGACAAACUUCUUAGAGAUGAAUAGGGACUAAUUUGUAAAGUAUAAUUUGUUAGUUACGAGUAUAGGGACUAAAAUAUAAUUAUUUCAAAAUUAACAUGAAAUUUUUGUAUUUAAGAAUAUUUUAAUGUUAUGGAAGGAUGAAUUUGAAUUUGAAUUGAAAAACAAAGCUUAGAUUUGAAAAUAUGACUAUUUAGGUUUUAGAGACUAAAUUGAAUAAAAUAAAAAAUUUUAGGAAACUUCUCAAAAGUCAAAUGAGCUGACUUAUAAAAAAAUAUCCAGUGUUUACUUCAAAUAAAUAAGUAAAAUAAUAAUUUAAAUGUUUAAAAAUUUAAUUUUAAACCGAAAAAAUCAAAAUUUAGGGACAAAAAAGAUCUUUUUUGACAAAAUCUGCAACAAAUCACCUUCAACAAUUUAUCAGCGCGUAAAUCUCAAAAAAUUAUUUAAAAUAAAAAAAAUAUUUAAAAUAAAAAAAAUCGAACAACCGAGCGAAAAUUUAUGGCCUUUCAAAAUUUUACAAACUUAAAAAUAUAAACUAUUCAUCCACGUCAGCAAAUCGCGUCCUCAUAGGCGCAAUUUCUGUCCACGUAAGCAAAUCACGUUGACGUAAACGCAAUGUCCUGACACGUACCCUGACAUUAUACAGACGUGAAUGCGAUUUCGCAAAAAAUAUCCUCUUCCGGUAAAUAAUCAAAAAAUCAGCCCACUUCAAUAAAUUAAAAAAAAAAACUUUUAUUGAUAAAUUACCCCAAUAUCACUCGUCUAUUUUACGCUAACCAUAGUAAUAAGAUAUACGCUGAAAGACACGCGUCCCACUUUUCACAUGGGACACAUUUUCAUUACCGACAUGAGAGGGUAAUCGCUCUUUCCGGCCAGUCAACAAAUUUAAGCCCAUAAAUUUUCGCUUCCCCAACCUACCACUACGGCACUACCUAAACAUGUCCCCUCCACAAUAUCCUCUUUUAACGGACCGAUUCCACAACACUACUAAACAACAUUUGCAUUUACAAUACACGAAAAAAUAUUCGAAGUCACUAGUUUUGAUUAGGAAGCACAUUAAAACAAACUAUACCAGACAUGAGAUCUUAUCCAUUAAAAUAUCAGACAUCACACUCUCCACCAUAACCCCAUUUCAUCAUAACAUUGAACCUACGCACUAAGAUAAACCUAUCAUUCAAUCUAGUAAUAAAAGAGGAUUAAAAAUAAACAUAAAAAAAUAGUACAACACAUCUGCCUAACAACAAACAAUAGUUUCUCCAUUCUAAGUGAGUGAUUAACACACUUGGAAAUUAAGCACGCUCGCCCCUGAUCCUACGAGCCAACUGAAUGUCCUUGGGCAUUAUAGUAACACGCUUGGCGUGGAUCGCACACAGGUUGGUGUCUUCAAAGAGACCCACAAGGUAUGCUUCUGCAGCUUCCUGAAGAGCAAGAACGGCAUGGCUCUGGAAACGCAAAUCAGUCUGCAAACAAAUAUCAUAUCAACGAUUGUCAACCAGAAGUCAAUACCAUCAAUUGCCAAGGAAUUGACACAAUAAUAGAGAUACUC